UGGCGAACGGGUGAGUAACGCGUGAGUAACCUGCCCUAGAGUGGGGGACAACAGUUGGAAACGACUGCUAAUACCGCAUAAGCCCACGGUGCCGCAUGACACUGAGGGAAAAGGAUUUAUUCGCUUUAGGAUGGACUCGCGUCCAAUUAGCUAGUUGGUGAGGUAACGGCCCACCAAGGCGACGAUGGUAGCCGGACUGAGAGGUUGAACGGCCACAUUGGGACUGAGACACGGCCCAG
This 239-nucleotide ribosomal RNA is filed under the name uncultured bacterium. RNAcentral describes it as "partial 16S ribosomal RNA". It matches the Rfam family "Bacterial small subunit ribosomal RNA", at positions 96 to 334 of the family's 1533-position model. The record is from RNAcentral.